This 403-nucleotide ribosomal RNA is filed under the name bacterium. Its description in RNAcentral is "partial 16S ribosomal RNA". It matches the Rfam family "Bacterial small subunit ribosomal RNA", at positions 355 to 776 of the family's 1533-position model. The record is from RNAcentral.
UGGGGAAUAUUGCACAAUGGGGGAAACCCUGAUGCAGCGACGCCGCGUGAACGAAGUAGGUAUUCGUAUCGUAAAGUUCUGUCCUAUGGGAAGAUAAUGACAGUACCAUAGAAGAAAGCUCCGGCUAAAUACGUUCCAGCAGCCGCGGUAAUACGUAUGGAGCGAGCGUUGUCCGGAAUUAUUGGGCGUAAAGGGUACGCAGGCGGUUUAAUAAGUCGAAUGUUAAAGAUCGGGGCUCAACCCCGCAAAGCAUUGGAAACUGAUAAACUUGAGUAGUGGAGAGGAAAGUGGAAUUCCUAGUGUAGUGGUGAAAUACGUAGAUAUUAGGAGGAAUACCAGUAGCGAAGGCGACUUUCUGGACACAAACUGACGCUGAGGUACGAAAGCGUGGGGAGCAAACAGG